This 245-nucleotide ribosomal RNA is filed under the name uncultured bacterium. Its description in RNAcentral is "partial 16S ribosomal RNA". It matches the Rfam family "Bacterial small subunit ribosomal RNA", at positions 524 to 769 of the family's 1533-position model. The record is from RNAcentral.
UACGAAGGGGGCUAGCGUUGCUCGGAAUCACUGGGCGUAAAGCGCACGUAGGCGGAUUGCUAAGUCAGGGGUGAAAUCCUGGAGCUCAACUCCAGAACUGCCUUUGAUACUGGCGACCUUGAGUCCGGGAGAGGUGAGUGGAACUGCGAGUGUAGAGGUGAAAUUCGUAGAUAUUCGCAAGAACACCAGUGCGAAGGCGGCUCACUGGCCCGAUACUGACGCUGAGGCACGAAAGCUAGGGGAGA